CCCUUAGAUGUUCUGGGCCGCACGCGUGCUACACUGAGUGGAUCAGCGGGUCAGGUUGCGCGAAAGCGUUUCCUAAUCUUUAAAUCCGCUCGUGAUGGGGAUUGACGGUUGCAAUUUUCUGUCAUGAACGAGGAAUACCUUGUAAGCGCGGGUCAUCAUCCCGCGCUGAAUACGUCCCUGCCCUUUGUACACACCGCCCGUCGCUCCUACCGAUUUGGUGUGCUGGUGAAAUGUUCGGAUCGGCCGUUUGUCGCGGUUUCCGCGGCUCGUGGCUGAGAAGUUCAUUAAACCCUCCCACCUAGAGGAAGGAGAAGUCGUAACA
RNAcentral lists this ribosomal RNA (322 nucleotides) under uncultured eukaryote. RNAcentral describes it as "partial 18S ribosomal RNA". It matches the Rfam family "Eukaryotic small subunit ribosomal RNA", at positions 1470 to 1796 of the family's 1831-position model. The record is from RNAcentral.